This 440-nucleotide ribosomal RNA is filed under the name uncultured Succinivibrio sp. Its description in RNAcentral is "bacterial SSU rRNA". It matches the Rfam family "Bacterial small subunit ribosomal RNA", at positions 956 to 1394 of the family's 1533-position model. Lineage: Bacteria; Pseudomonadati; Pseudomonadota; Gammaproteobacteria; Aeromonadales; Succinivibrionaceae. The record is from RNAcentral.
UUAAUGCGGAAGAACCUUACCUGACCUUGACAUAGUGAGAACCUCUCUGAAGGGAGAGGGUGCCUUCGGGAGCUCACAUACAGGUGCUGCAUGGUUGUCGUCAGCUCGUGUCGUGAGAUGUUGGGUUAAGUCCCGCAACGAGCGCAACCCUUGUCCUUUGUUGCCAGCGGGUAAAGCCGGGAACUCAAAGGAGACUGCCGGUGACAAACCGGAGGAAGGCAGGGAUGACGUCAAAUCAUCAUGCCCCUUACGGUCAGGGCUACACACGUGCUACAAUGGGGCGUACAAAGGGAAGCGAUCCCGCGAGGUGGAGUGAAUCCCACAAAGCGUCCCUCAGUUCGGAUUGGAGUCUGCAACUCGACUCCAUGAAGUCGGAAUCGCUAGUAAUCGCAGAUCAGAAUGUUGCGGUGAAUACGUUCCCGGGUCUUGUACACACCGAA